RNAcentral lists this ribosomal RNA (749 nucleotides) under uncultured archaeon. RNAcentral describes it as "bacterial SSU rRNA". It matches the Rfam family "Archaeal small subunit ribosomal RNA", at positions 102 to 856 of the family's 1478-position model. The record is from RNAcentral.
GGACAAUCUGCCCUAAAGAAGAGAAUAAUCCCGGGAAACUGGGGGUAAUGCUCUAUAGUCCGGGAUGACUGGAAUGUUAUCCGGAUGAAAGAUCCGUCGCUUUAGGAUGAGUCUGCGGCCGAUUAGGUAGUUGUUGGGGUAAAAGCCCAACAAGCCUGUAAUCGGUACGGGUUGUGGGAGCAAGAGCCCGGAGAUGGAUUCUGAGACACGAAUCCAGGCCCUACGGGGCGCAGCAGGCGCGAAAACUUUACAAUGCGGGCAACCGUGAUAAGGAAACCCCGAGUGCCAGCACAGGCUGGCUGUCCACCAGUGUAAAGAACUGGUGAAGAAAGGGCCGGGCAAGACCGGUGCCAGCCGCCGCGGUAAUACCGGCGGCUCGAGUGGUGGCCGCUUUUACUGGGCUUAAAGGGUCCGUAGCUGGAUUCACAAGUCCCUUGAGAAAUCUAUCGGCUUAACUGAUAGGCGUUCAGGGGAUACUGUGGUUCUAGGGACCGGGAGAGGUGAGAGGUACUGCCGGGGUAGGAGUGAAAUCCUGUAAUCCCGGUGGGACGACCUAUGGCGAAGGCAUCUCACCAGAACGGCUCCGACAGUGAGGGACGAAAGCUGGGGGAGCAAACCGGAUUAGAUACCCGGGUAGUCCCAGCCGUAAACGAUGCUCGCUAGGUGUCAGGCAUGGCGCGACCGUGUCUGGUGCCGCAGGGAAGCCGUGAAGCGAGUCACCUGGGAAGUACGGCCGCAAGGCUGAAACU